RNAcentral lists this long non-coding RNA (21748 nucleotides) under Gossypium barbadense (sea-island cotton). RNAcentral describes it as "long non-coding RNA (GBAR_LNC002798)". Lineage: Eukaryota; Viridiplantae; Streptophyta; Magnoliopsida; Malvales; Malvaceae. The record is from RNAcentral.
CUGUUUCGACCCCAACCCUGUUUAGUUUCCUUACUUGACAAGGACAUUGCACGUUUAAGCUCUCUCAACAUGCCUCUAACAAGAACCUCCCAAUAGCAUAGGGUACCAUCUAAGCUAGUAGUCAUUUGGCAUAUGUAUUACAACUCUUGACAUACUUCAUUUACAUCAUUUAUAUCAGAUCAAUUAGAGAUUAGGAGGAAAUUGGUGACAUAUCUUACCAUUUUUUGUUGUUGGAAAUUUUGGCAUAUAAACAAACCGUAGUAGAAAUUAUGGCCUCUGCUUGUAAUGCAAGCUAUGCUCUUCCGAAGAAAUCUAACAAAAAAUAAGAUUAGAUCAUCAGAGAGACUCUUCAACAAUGAAAGUCAGAAUAAAUCUACAAAAUUUGCGUCAUUCUUCAAGAAAGAAAAAACAAAAGAAAACAAAAAAAUGUGCUUACAGAGGAGGAGUAGAAUGCCACAGACAGAUCAGCUGAUGAUGUACAUUUUGUUUUUUGCCUCUUCCAUUGAAUUCAUGCCGAAAAAGAAGAAGCUUAGUUACGGGGUUAUAUUAGAUCAUUGAAAUUGCGAGAUUAUUAUGAUUUGAAAGUGUAAGGCAAUUACAUAAUUACCUCCUCUUUUUCUGCAUCUAAAAUCUUAAGGUUGUCAAAUGCCUUUCAUCAAAAUAGACUCCAAUGGGUUACUGCACAAAUUACCAAAAUAUUAUGAAAGAUGGUAAGUAAAAAGUAGGAUUAAAACAAAGGAAUUUCAAUUGAAUAAUUUUUUAACAGUAAGCAUCCAACUUGAAUGAUAUUAGAAUGAAAAAUAGCAUGAGACACCAGAGUUAACAAACCUGAUUAACCACUCAAUUUUUUCUUGAAAAUAAAUUAAGGUCAUAAAAAUAAAAAAAAUGGAAAGGAUGUACCAACCCGAUAACACAAAAUUUGUGGGAUGUGAGCAAUUUUAUGCCAAUCAACGCCAAUGUCCUUCCGACAUCUUUCCUCCAACUGAGGAACUCCAUUUAUAUUUAACCAUUGCAAAUUGGUUAGGCAACGCAUCUCGUCCGGAAGCGAUGUUAAAUUGGGCAAAUUCCAGAGAAGGAGCCCUUGUAGAUUUGUUAGAUGUUGAAUCCAGUCCGGAAGUUGCCAACACUUCGGAAUAUCUGCCAGCCAUAGAGAGCGCAGGCUUGUAUGAUCUUGGAAUAUUUGGAACUUAGGUGCUGAUAACUCCAGCUCCUUGCAAUCACUUAUUGAAAACUCUUCAAGGGAAGUGAGAUGUGGGAACACAGGAAACAGUGACCUCAAUCCACUGCAACUAUAGAUUUUUAAUGUUUUCAAUUCAACAAGAUGUUGAAGCCCAAGAGGGAGGGACACCAGCUUUGGAAUAUUACCAAUCUCCAAAUAAGAGAGAUUCUAAAGGGGUUCCCAUUGCAUGCCCUUCAAAUCAACCUUCGUACAACCAUCUAUUGUUAAUCUUUUGAGGCUGGUGAGAUGUUGCAGGGACUCAUCUAGCAUGGGAGUGUCCAGAUCCUCCAGAUUCUUUACAUGGAAAGAUUUCAAUUUGGAGAGAAGAAGAGAAGAUGUUGAACUUGAUGGGGUCUUAGCAUUCAUGUUCAUCUUGAUAGUCUGCUUAAACGGCCUUGAACUGGUAUUCAUCAACUUUAGAUUAUCAUCGACUGAUGGAUACAACGGCAUUGAAGUCAAAGGGCAAUUUUUAAUCCAUAACUUGGAAAGACAAGGAAAUGCCAUGGUUGACGUUCCCAUAACUGUUGUAUCGUCCUCGUUGGAAUCAUCAUCGAUUGGUUUUAUCGUCCUCCACCAACUCUUCAUUUUCCGGCAAUUCUCGAGGUGAAGAUACUUGAGAGAUGGGAAGAAUGAUUCUGGUUCUCCUUGACUUCCUUUUGAGCUAUUAUCAUCCAUGUACUCCAGCUCAGAACAAUCACGAAUCGUCAAAUUUUGAAGACAAGGCAAUUGAGCAACGGACGGGAGAUAUUUGAAUUUAUUGGGACCCCAUAUGUUAAUAUCAACGAGAUUUGUGAGCAAAGAAAGCCAACUUGGAAAUUUGGGAUCACCCCCCCUCCAUAGAUACGGAGCUCCUUGAGAUUAGGAUGGGGCUGGAGGUCUUCAAGCAACUUAUUGUCAUCAUCAUCGUUAUCACCAUUCCAUUCUAAAAUCAACGAUCUCAAAUGUUGCUUCCCUUUCAAAAUUGGAGUCAACUUCUCUUUUGCAUUUUUCACAAAUCUCAAAUUUGUUAUUGUAAGCUCUCCCCUCAAGUUGUUAAGCCCACUCAAUUCACUUAGAUCUGCACCGUCAUGGGAACCAUCUCUAUCCACUACAAACAUGCUUAACUCCUCAAGUGAAGUCAGCUUCCCUAUUCCACGUGGCAUGUGAGUUAAAUCAUCACAUCCAUAACAUGUAAGAUGGGUAAGAUUCACCAAUUUUUCAAUCUUCUUCAGUAAUUCUUUAAGCGAAUCACAGUAGUCAAGUUUCAGCACUUGCAAAUUUUGUAUCUUGCAAAUACUCUUUGGGAGAAUCUUAAGAUUAUUGCCAGAAAGAUCAAGGUACCUCAAAUGUUUCAGCUUAUGAAUGGAAAGUGGAAUUGUAGUAAAUUCAAAAUAAUCCAAUUUUAAGACACGCAAGCAUCUAUAAUUUGAAAUUAUAAAAUGCCAAAUUUCGUCCCUCUUAUCUUGAUAUCCCUCAUUUGAAAAUUGUAACAAGGUUCGCAACUUUUUUCCUUUAAAUAAAGGAAUUAAUGAAUCAUCAUUAAUUGACAUAUGACGACAUUUUUCAUCAACCUCACUUGCACUUGAAUUUGAAUCUACAAUACCACUCUCUUUCCCUGCUACAAAUUCAGCUAGAUCAUGCAUUAAAUCAUGCAUUUUACAUGUCAUAUUUAAGUGUCUUUCUUUAAUUACUUCUUGAAAGAAACUUCUUUCCACUAAUUCUUUAAAAUACCCAAACCCAGUCUCUUGAAGAGAUCGUGUUUCAUUUGAUUGUUUUACGAAACCUUGUGCAACCCAAAAUUGAACAAGCGUUUGUACAUCAAUUAUAUAAUCUUUUGGAUACAAUCGGCAAUAAGCAAAGCAAUGCUUCAAAUGGGCCGGGAGAUGAUCAUAACUCAACUUAAGUGUAGGUAGAAUAUUACCUUCGUUUUGAGAUAUUCUAGCAAGUUCAUUAUCUUUGAAGGAACACCACUCCUUUUCAGUUUCUUUGUAAGAUAAUGUACUUGCUAUCGUCCUUAUGACUAAAGGAACCCCACCACACCUUUCCAAAAUCUGUUGUCCUAUUUCCACAAAGGCUGAAUCUGUUGAGUCUGCAUAUCUUUGCUCAAAUGCUAUUUCUUUGAACAAAGACCAACCAUCGUAAUCAGACAAGCCUUUUAGAACAUGAGGCUGACAUUUACUAGUGAUCUUGGCUACCUUAAAAGAGCGAGUAGUUACUAUUAUCCUACUUCCUUUAGCCCCACCUAUCAAUAACUCUUUUAAACUAAUCCAAUUUUCCCGCUCAUCAUUCCAAAUGUCAUCCAAAACAAGUAAAUAUUUUUUCCCACCAAUUUUUUCUCGAAGUUGUUUUUGCAAUUGGUCAAUUUCGAGAUUUUGAUCUGGUGCUUGGCCAGUUGCAGAUUUGAUAAUGUUUUCUACAAUUAGUUUGACAUCAAAAACAUCCGAAACACACACCCAAAUCAUCAACUCAAAAUGAGUUUUGACCAUUUCAUCACUAUAGACAAACUGGGCCAAAGCAGUCUUCCCUAACCCUCCAAACCCCACAAUUGGAAUGAUGUAAACAUUCUCUUCACUUUCAAACUCUAGCACGAGUUUUUGAAGAGUUGCUUUAUCAUUAUCCCUCCCUAUUAUUUUAUCUUUAGGCACAAAAGAGUGUGUUUGCUGCCUCUUUUUAGUCAUGAAAGAGGUGUCCAAGGGGCGGUCACGCACCAUGAAGCCAAAAGUGUUGGCCUUCCUUUCAAUUGAAGCUAAUCUUGCCUUAAUGGCCUUAAUUUUCCGACCUAUUUUGAGACCGUAAGCAAACUGAUUUGAGCUUGAGAAGAAAAGGCGUACCUCUUUCAUCAGCUUUUUCCCACCCAUUAGAUCUUUCCGCAAAGUUUCGGUAGAGAAAUCAUCAAGCAAGUCAUCGGCAUCAUAAAGUGCAUCUUUCAGCGCCUCAAGCCAAACUGUAAUGAGAUUGUUGGUCAUUGAUUUCUCUUCUGCAUCAAGGAUCACAGCUUUGAUGGUGGAGACAGUGGUUCCGAGGUCAUCGAGGUCAUCUUUGACAUUCCACCACAGUCCAAUUUGAGAGACAGCGAAGGAGCUCAAUUUAGUAAUAAGCUCUACGGCAAUGUCGAAAGCAAUUGCUUCGGCCAUUGUUGGUUCAAAAAAUGUUUGAUUACUGCAAGAGGAGGAGUAAAAUGAAAAUGAUUGGAACAAGAUGCAACACAGAUGCGGAUCCAUACAUGCAGAGACUUUUUAAGUAUUUUUAUAGAUGAAAAUAAUUUUGGUCCACCAUGUUUCAUGUUUGACACAAUUUUUAUAAAUUAAAUUAAAUUUUCCUUUUAUUUUUUCAUUCCAAUUGCUCUCCACCAAUGCAUUGAAAUUAUUCCCAUCACAUGCUGAAGGAAAUAAAAGCCAUAGAUGUAAUCAAAUUAUUAUAUACUAUGUGUCUUCUUGGAAAAAGGGCUUGAGGGAUGGUCUUUCUUUAUUCAUUUAUUUGGUAAUUAUUAUAAUGCAAACUUUGACAAAUAAAGGUAUUAAUGGAAAUUUUCUUAUUUUGAAAAAUAAUGGUAUAAUGAUAUUUUUGGCCUCUAACUUUGUAAAAUAAUUAUUUUAGUCUUCCAUUUAUUUUCCUCUUCUUUUUGAAAAAUAAAGGUAUAAUAACCAUCUAAAAUGGAUUAAAAAGUUAAUGUUUGUUAACUUUACUGACGUGACACAUAGGUACCACAUGUAUGCCACAUUAGCAAUUAAAUAAUUUUAAAAAAUAAUUAAUUGCUUAUGUGGCUUAUAUACUGGCAAUCCACGUGUAUGUCACGUCAACAAAGUCGACAAAUAUUAAAUUUCUCACCCAUUUUGAGGUGAUUUGGCAGAAAACGCAAGUUUAAAAAUUAAAAUAAUUUUUUCUAUAAAGUUAGAGGACCAAAAGAGUCAUUAUGCAAAAAAAAUAAUUAUUUUCUUUUUUUGGUAUUUUUUUAUUGGUAUAAUUCUAAAUGGUGUGAAAUAGGUCCAUCAACUAAUCUUAUUAUUGUUAUUGCUGUUUUUAACCUCAUUAGAGCUAAUCUUACUGUCCAUAUAAAGAGAGUCUAAUUAUAAUUUGUUCAAUUUCUUAUAAAUAUGUUAGUGCUCUUUUGUAUGAUCAUAUGUAUCCAAUUGUUUUUAAUUUCAGUAGAGUUGAUCCAAUUGUCCAUCCAAAGAAAGCCAUAGGCUUAUCUAAGACUCCAUAUGUUUCAUUAAAAAUGAUUUCUAGAAAAUGAUUUAUGGAAAAUGACUUACUUUUUUAGAAAAGCUAAUAUUUUUUGGUGUUUGAAUGAAUUUGUGUAAGAUAUUUUCUAUUGUUUGGCAUAUUUUUAGAAAAUAUUUGACUGCCCCAAACCUAUUAUUCAAACUCUUUUUCCAACAUGACAUAGAACAAAAGAAUGUUCAACACCCUGAAAUUUAGGAGGUUAAUUAGAAUAAUUAAGUAUUAUUGUGUUAAUCUAAAACGAAAUCUGAUUAAGAGGUCUAAUUUGAAAAUAGUGUGUUUUAAUUAGCGUUGAUUUUAAAUUCACAAAAUUGAGAUAAUAACUUGUAUAAAACAAGUCUAGUAUUGAUAAUUGAUUUUGUAAAAAAACGGAGCCACCUAUACGGUUAAUGUGAUAUCUUCAGUUCAGGUCUAUUGUUUAGACCGGGUUAAGGAGAUUACAGAAUGAGAAUGAGGUAAAAUUUUCAAUAAUCAAGAAAUAAAAAUCAUCACCCCCACUUACAAAAAAACAAAUAAAGGAAUAUUGAAAGUUCUGCACUGCUUUUUCUUUCUUUAUAAUUGCAGCGCCAUCCAAAAUUGAAAGUUGUGCACACAUAUAUAUAUAAAGAAAGACGGUCCCUUAAAUCAUUUCUUCCUUAUUUUCUCUUUCUAAUCCUUUGACUCAUAACAGUCAUACAAAACUUUAACUACUACCAAAAAUAAGUGUAAGAAAGAUGGUAACAACUAUAAGAUAAUGGGAUUUUUAUUUAAUUAUUAUUAUUAUUAUUAUUAUUAAAUUGCUCUUGUUUUGGGAUUAAUUCUGUAUUGGGGUGGGUUCAUUCUAUGUGGUUCAAGUUCUAACAAGGUAUUGGAAUUCUCUAUUAGAGUAGUAAGGCCCCUGAUGCUCAUCACUCACAGGUUGAAUAUGAAGGAUGCACAAGUAAUUUGCACACCCAGAGUGUUUUGGCAGCCUAUGUAGAGAGGCAUCACAAACACCUACCUGCUUGACUCUUAUUUGAUUCGGAAAGAAUGGAAGAUAAGGCAAUUUCAGGGGCUUCAAACCACUGAAGUUGAUAUAGUUAAAAUAAAAUUGAUGAUGUAAAUAUUAGUAGACCCAAAAACUUAGCAAGAAUAUUAAAAGAAAAAUAGGCCAAUUUUUUAAAGAAAAAAAUGAAUUAAUUAUUUUUAUUAAAAAUUAUACCUCAUUUUUUGAGUAGAGGUAAGGAUUGCAAAACACGAAUAUUCGAUGAAUUCCGAAUCAAUCUGCUUCAAAGGGAGUAGAUUUUUUUUAAAAAGUGAAUGUGGGGUGGGAUGUGUGGAUUUUUUCUUUUGGACAAUGGGUAUGAAAUAAUUAUGAUAAUUGUUUGCCCCACUCUACUAUAUUAAAUUAUCAUCUUAUCUUUCGGAAUUUUGGUCUAUCUAAUCUGGUUAUAUAUGCACAUUAACAACAUCCUUUUCUUUAUAUGAGUUGCUUAAUUAGUCAUUAGUUUUUCACAUAUCAAAAUCCAAAAGAUAGCCUUACUAAAUGUGUAGCAUUGCGAUGAUAAUCAUUGGAUCAAUCUUGUUGUUUGUACGAAAUCGGUCCAUUGUAUAUUUGAGGUUGUGACUGAUAGCAUCUAUAAAUAAUCAUAUGAUUAUAGGAAUCCAAUUAUUUUUCUACUUCUAUUGCUUCCUUCAUGUUUUUUCACUUCAUGGUUCAAUUUGAUCUUUAACAUAUUGAUAUUAUCAUUUCCAGGUUCAUUGUUGCUGUAUAGAGGGAAUUGAUGGGGCCAGAAUCCUCCUAGGAGACCUUGAUUUCCUUAGCUCACCAAGAAACACCCCUGCCACAGCCCAUAUCCUUCCUUCCUUUCCAGGCAUCGAGAUUCCAAAAGAAAAGCCUUAUGUUUUGUUUAAAUGACAAGAACAAAUUACAAGGUGUGUUAUUCAACCUGUAAUUUGAUGUGUGCCAACAUUAGCAUCAACGCACAAGUCAUAUGUAUAUACAGCCAGGAGAUCGACUUCUUUUGGAAGAGUCCUAAUCCAAGCAUCAUAAUUGAACAAAGCCUUGGAAUACUGUCUAAAAAAAAUCAUUGUCUCAUAAUUAAUUGUGCAUACCUGCAUUUGAAUACUGUUUGGAACACUAAAAAUGUGUUUUUUCCUGAGUUGGUACAUAUUAUUCAACAAGGAAAUAAAGAACACAAUCAAGAUGUUUAUGCAGUUCAGAACUCGUCUUAAGUCUGCAGGGUCUUGCCCAAAAAUGAAUACACUAUGAACAUCACAGUACAAAGAAAUGAUUUAAGCCUAACCCCUUGAACACUUGAUACAAUCUCACUUUUAUACAAUUAAGUAAACUCUCUCCCAACUCAUUUUAGCUAUGCAAGUGAAAAUCAACAUUCGACACUCAAUGGUGUAUAACAAUAGCACUCAAUAAUAGUUCCUACUAUGAACAUGUAUGCUUCUUAAAAUUCACACAUUACUCAUAAAAUAAAUCAUCUAUAUAUAAGCUUGAGGAUUAAUGAAGCUCGUUCCAUAUAAAUAGAAACAAUAAAUUUCCAAAUGCAAUAUCUCUUACCAUUGUCAUGUUUGAAUUAGGAGUCUUCCAAAAGCAACAAUGAACCUGAAUAUUAUAAAUGCCAACGUAGAAUAUGUUACAAUUCCCAUAAUUUAUUUACACCUCAAAACCUUUUGCAAAAGAGAUUUAAUUAUUAUUUUUUACUAAAAUACUCACCAUUAUCAGCAUUAUGUUUGCACAUAUGUGUGUCCCUGUUCAUAUAAAUAAUGAAACAUUUUAUGAACCUCAACCUUACCACCAUAUAUUCUGAAGCAACUUCAUUUUUUUUCCUGUUUGGACCAUCAAUAACAAAUUUAGCUGAAAUUCCAAACACCUAAAAGGGUGAUUGUGAAUUUGAACGCCUCCAAUAGCCUGUGAAUAGCAUAGGUACCAUAUAAGAUAGUAAUCAAUUGGCAUAUAUUAAGAGAAAACAUAAAUAUAUAUAAACAUAUGAUAGGUAAGUGCUUAAAUUUGGAAAACGAACAAAACAGAGCAUAUAGUACAACCAUUUUGAAGGGUAGCAUGCAAGCUUCAUAGGCCUCUCUCUCCACAUCAAUGAUUUUUUAGAAUUAAAUUAUUAGUAGCCCUAAAAUUGAAGUCUAUAAAAUGAGAGAUAUGAAAAGAAGAACUAACCAUGUGGUCCUAUUUCAUCAUUGCAAUUCUCAAAUUAUUAUGAUUUUAAAGUGUAAAGCAAUUAGAUGUAUUACCACCUCUGUAAGGCCCAAAUUUUGCCCGGAGCCCAAUAAACCAAAUAAAUAAAUACAAUACCCAAUUACAGCCCAAAUAUUAAAAUCCUAAAAGCCCAAUUAGCCCAUAACCUUAACUAAUUUUCAUUAAAAAAAAAGAGAAAAAAAAACUUAGUCACCUCCACUUGCUCCACUUACACCUGCAAAAGUCAAAAGAAGAAAAAACAAAAAAGGGGGCAGAAAAGAAGCAAGAAAACAAAGAAAUAGAUAAUAACAAAUCCAUGGUAUUUCGGCUAUAAAGCCUGAAAUCCCGAAUUUUUUUGGGUACAAAAACAAGAAUAUUGUAAAAGGGAGGGGGAUUUUUUUUAUCAGAAAAAAAAAGAAGAUUGAAGAAAAAAAAGUGUAAUCUCUCUGAAGAUUUUUCUUUAAAAAAAACAGCAAGCAAUACAAAAAAAAAGAUAAUAACAAAGCCAUAAAAAAAGAAGAAGUGCAAACCGGCUUAAGGUUUUUUUCUUUUCUUUUUUAUUUUAUUAUUCGAAUCCAUCUCUUCUCAUUCAUGUAUUAAAAUAUAUCAAGGUCUAUAUAUAAGAAAUAUAAAAAAAAACCUUUUUGAAAUUUUCGGCCACUGUGCGCGGUGGCCGGCGACGGUGGCCGGCGGCGACGGACGGAGCCGGAGUUUGGUCGGAGGGAGAAGGCCUUGAGAGAGUUUGAGAGGAAGGGGUUAGUUUUUUUUUUUAUGAAAUGGGAAAAAUGAGUUUUUUUUUUUAGGAAUUUUCACUUGUAUAGCCCCAUCAAAACGACGUAAGUAUUUGGCUCUUAACCCAUGGCCGACCCGCGACCCGACCCGCUCCAACUUCAGGAUCCGCUUGUUUUCAUUGGAGGGGCUAUUUGCGCGUUUAGCCCUCCGCUUUUAUUACUUUGCAAUAAUUAUUUUUUAUUUUUAAUUUGGCACCAAAAUUUGUCGCAACUUUCAAUUUAAUCCUAGCUGAUGCUGUGCAUUUUAUAAAGGGGGUUAUUGCACUUUAGGCCCUCUGUUGUUUCACGCGCAUUUAAAUAGGCCCUUUUCUUCUUUUUUUUUUAUCUUUAAAUUUGCCCCAAAACUUCGUUUUUAAUUCGAAUUAGUCUCUUUUUUAAUUUAAGUUGAUUUUUAUAUUAUCUUUGCUACUUUAAUUUUUAAUAUUAGUUCCAAUAAUAUUAUAUAUAUGCUUUUAAAUACACUCCUUUAUUUUCUUUUAUUAUAAAUAUUAUUAUUUUAUUUUCUUUACGUUAUUAUUAUAUCGUAUCAUUUUUUUUAUCAUAUCAUUAUUAUUUUUCAUGCACACAUUAUUUUCAUGAUUAUUAUUGUGUUUAUUUUUACUACUAUUAUUGUAUUUAUUAUUAGUAUUAGUAUUAUAAUUACUAUUAUCAUACUUAUAUGUAUAUAUAUUUAUAUGUAAAGUUAUCUAUGGUUAUUUUAAUAUUAUUAUCAUCUUAAUAUUAAUAUGUACUUAUUUUUAACAUAUAUAUAUGUAUGUAUAUAUUUAUGAAGUAUUAUUAAUAAUUGUUUUGUAACAUUAUUAUUAUUAUUUCUAAUGUGUAUGUAUUAUAUAUUUUUAAUACUAUAUUAUGUAUAUAUUAUAUUAUAUAUAUUUAUUAUAUUUUUAUGUAUAUAUUUUUAAUAUCACAUUAUUCAUAUGUUUUUUUUAUACAUUAUCCCAUGUAAAUACUUUCAAUACUACAUUAUGCAUAUAUUUUUGUCUCUAUUAUAUAUAUACUUUUAAUAUUCAAUACUAUUAUUAUGAAUAUGUCUUUGGUAUACGUAUGUGUAUAUAUAUAUAUUUUAAUUCAUAUAUUAUUAUCAUUAUUUUCUACGUUAUAUUCUUAUUCUUAUUAUUAUUAUUGUUAUUAUUAUUAUUAUUAUCAUUGUCAUUGCCAUUUUUGUUGUUCCAUGUUUUAUUCAUUUUCAUUUAUUCGUUGAUUUGCUUAUGUCUUCGAUCAUUUCAUUUUCCUCAUGCAUUUGUUUAUAUUUACAUAUUACUAGUCUUGCUAUUACUUCAUCUUUUAUAAUUACUCAUAUUAUCGUUUUUGACACUGUCGCACCUAUUAUGUUAUUAUUCACAUUAAUAUUAUAAUUUGCUUUUAUGUUUUACUAUAAAUCACGUUAUUUUUCUUACUCAAUAUAUUAAAACAAUUCUUUCAUAAAAGUAAUAUUCCGUAUUAGGUAAUUCGAGAUAAUCGUACCCUAACUUACUGGGUUUCGAUUCUUCUUAUUUAACCUAAAUAAUGGAAUAUUCCUUUUAAUCACAAUGUGAGUUUUAAAAAAAAUGUUUAUUUUUGGAGAUACGAGGUGUGGCGCCCUAACUUACCGGGUAUGACAUGUUGUUACCUCGAAAUAAGAUUUUUCGCAAAUAAAGGCAAUACUCGGUGUUUGAUGAUUCGAGAAUCAUACCUUAUCGUGCUGGGUUGUGAUUUCUCGUUUGCUCAAAAACAAUCGAAUAUUCCUUUAGGUUUUCACCCAUGCUUAUUAAAAACCUUUCAAAACAAAGGAUGUUCGAUGAUUGGAUAUUUGAGAAUCGUGCCCUAUCGUGUUAGGUUGCGCUUUUUCAUUUAUUCUAAGCAAUCGAAGAUCCCUUUGAAGUUUCAUUCAUGUUUUCUAAAAACCCUUUAAAACGAAAGAAGUGUUUGAUGUUUGGGCAGUUCGGGGAAUAGUGCCCUAUCGUGCUGGGUUGCAAUCUCCCGUCUGACCGAAAUAAUCAAAUAUCUCUCCGGGAUUUCACUCGUAUUUUCCAAAGUGAGGCAAUGAUCAAUGUUUGGGAAUUCGAAGAAUCGUGCCCUACUGUGCUGGGUUUCGAUUUUUCGUUGGACUAAAUAGUUGAGCAUCCUUUCGUGAUUUUCGAAUUAUAAAUUUCCGGACAUCGAAACAAGAAAAUUUUUGACGAUUAACUCGGGUUAUUCAACUUUUAUUAAAAAAGGCCACAUUUCAAAAACAUUUUUAAUUUUAGACAUAAGGACAAUAUUUAAUCGAUUUGGUACCAAUUUUGGGCGUAGUGAGGGUGCUAAUCCUUCCUCAUGCGUAACCGACUCCCGAGCCCGUUUUCUAAAAUUUUUGUAGACCAAAAUUGUUGUUUUAGUAAAUCAUAAAUGUUUUAUUAAAAUAACCAAAUUUUUAGGUGAUCCGAUCACACCAAAACAAAAGAUCGGUGGCGACUCCAUGCAUUUGUUUUUCAAAAGUCGAUUACCCCUUUUUUAAAAUUUUUAAAUUUUUAAAUCAAGGAAUGAUUUCGACAACCUCUUUUUAUGCAUAUAAAUUAUUGAAGUUGACAAAUGCCUUUCACCAAACUACUCUCCAAUUGUUGGUGUUUUGGGACACUUUAUCCAGAGGAAGUAUGGACUUUAGUCUGGAACUUAAACAACAAUGUAAUGAAUCCGGAUAAAGAAUGAAGAAAACUUGAAAAUUCAAGUUAGGAGAUUUGAGCUUGAAAAACAGAAUGAAAUUGAAGGCAAGAAAUGAGAGAGUAUUUUAGAUGAAAUUCUAAUGAAUUUUCAUUCACUUGAAUGAAGGCUUAAAGCCAAUACAUAUACCAGUAUUACAGCUAGUCAACAUAAACAACUUUCACCUAAACAACUACAUACUACCAUUAAUUAACAUUGAAACUUGUAAAACAUUGCUUGUACAUUUUGACAAGCUGAUUUAUCAAUAUACUAGCACCUAUUUACAUCAAAAUGCGUCACCUAUUUAGUUCAAAUCUGACUAAAUUACAAAACAAUAUUUAAGGUAACUAAACAGAAUGAAAUACGAUAGCAGUAAUGUGCUUCAGCAUCUGCAUGCAUACUUCAUGUGCUGAAGGUUUGGCCUGAUCUACUUCUCUAUACUUCAUCCGCAUAACUUGUGCUACAUAGUCAUCUCCUUGCUGCUUCAUGUGUUGUAUGCAUACUUCAUCCGGUAAUAAUAUAGUAGCUUGAUCUUCCAGGUUGAUCUUCAACACUUCAUCCGCAUGACUUGUGUUGCUUGGUCUGCUUCUUGGCUGCUUCUUAUGCUGCAUGCAGGCCAACUUCAAACUCCUCAUUGGCUUGCAUACUGCAUAGUUCUGACUGAUCCCUUUACAACCAGCCUUGAUUUAAGUUUGUUCAAGCUACCAUCAGCAUUUUGCUUGGUUCGAAACACCCUCUUCACUCUAAUAACCUUCUUGUUGGCUGGUCUUGGAACUAAAUCCCAAGUUUGAUUCUUGUCUAUCAUGCUCAUCUCAUCGAGCAUGGCCUGCUUCCAUCCUUGUUGAGCUUUAGCUUCUUCAAAAUAGCAUGGUUCAAUAGCAACUACUUCAGCUCUUUCAUAAAUAUCAACCAAUCGUCUAGUGCCUCUGACUGGUUCAUCAUCAAUGUCCAUUUCAGGACCAUCUUGAUCAGCUUCAGCUUGAUCUAUUACAAGAUCUUUAGAGACUUCAUCUUUGACGCUACAAUCGGAUUUCUUAGAAUCUUGAGUUCUUUUCGAAAAAACGUUCUCAUUAACUUCAACAGUUUCCCGAGCUUUAGGCUUCUUGGUCUUAUUUUCCAGCUCUUGUUGCGCUUUUUUCUUUGCAGCUUCUGCUGAAGCCAACUGGUCUUUGAGGUUCUUCAGUUCUUCUUGUGCUUGCCUCAGUUGAGAUUCUAAAUCUACAAUAUGAGUGCCAAGCUUCUUUUGGUUCAAUAGAUCAGAUUGUGUAGCACCUCUUGGUGAACGACGAUAUCCAAGCUUAGGACUACUACGAUCAAUAAUGGGUCGAUGAUGCAAAGGCUCUGAAUUAGAACUCGAUGGCCUAACCUGAUGCGUGCCUCGAGGAUAUUGCCUUUGUGGCAUGUCUACAACAAAUCUUUUGUCAGCCAUGGUUACUGACAUGAGCUUGGAUCCACUUGAAUCACUAAUUAGGCAUUCUUUGCUUUUGAAUAUACUGAAUAUCCUUUUUUGAAGUAGUUGAGCAAUGAAUUUCUAUCAAUUUCAGGCACCAACAAGACAUUUGUAACAAGUUUGGUACCUGUAGGAGUGUUUAUCAGCACAUUUCCUUUGCCUUCAGCUUUGAUGAAGUGUCUAUUUCCAACCUUCACCCUUAUUUUGAAGCUUCUGUCAAUUGACUUAAAGAUAGCGGCAUUAGGGGUCAUAUGGUUUGUGUAACCACUGUCAAUUAGCCAUCAUUCUGUGGCUUUUCUUUUGGUAGACGAACAAGAGACAACAAAGACUCGUUCUUCUUGAUCACUUUCUUUUUCUGCUACUUGAGCUUCAGCUAUUGGUUGUUGAGUUUGAUUUGGUCUUUGUCUACUUUUGUUUCUGCAGACUUUUUUAGCAUGGCCCAUCCUGUUGCAGAAGUUGCACUGCACAUCAGGCCUGAACCAACAUACUUCACCCAAAUGACUUACCCUUUUGCAGUAUAGGCAGGGUGGAUAUCUUCUUUCACAAUCUGAUUUAGGCUUGGUUGACCAGGUUUCCUUUCCUUUGUACGCAGAGGAGCUUGAGACUGGUCUGUUUUUAGCUUGGAAGGCGCUUUCAUGAUGCUCUUCCUAUCUGCUGGCCCUUUUUUGCUCUUGAGCGUAAAAUAGCAUUGAUCAGCUCUGUCAAUGAGAUACUGGUCAGAUCUCUUGAGUCUUCAAUGGAUGAUAUCUUUGCCUCAUACCUUUCAGGCAAGGUUGAGAUCACAUUCUCCACAAUUCUUGCUUCACUAAACUAUUCCCCAAGUAGCCUUAUGCUGUUUACUACAGCCAUGAUUCUGUCUGAGUACUGUUUGACAGUUUCUUCCUCCUUCAUCUUCAAGUUCUCGAACUCUCUUCUCAAAUUCAAAAGUUGUUGUUGCCUUGUUCUUUCAGUCCCUUGGAACUUAUCUUUCAAUCUGUCCCAGGCCUCCUUUGGUAUUUCACAAGCCAUGAUUUUUAUGAAAAUCACAUCAAACACACUAUUCUGAAUGCAAGAUAUGGCUUUGUGCCUUUUGGUUCUUUCAUCUGCAUGUUGUCUGAUUUGAGCCACUAUUGGAUUGGCUCUAAGAGGUGCUGGUUCAACAUCUGAGUUGACAACCUCCCACAAAUCGAAUGCCUGUAGGUAGGUCUUCAUUUUCACUACCCAAAUAUGGUAGCCCUCUCCUUUGAAAAUUGGUGGUGGAGCUGGUGGAAAACUUGAGGAAGACAUGGUUUUUAAGGAUUAGAAUAUGACAAGUCCACUAAGAAUUUGGCUCUAGAUACCAAUUGUUGGUGUUUUGGGACACUUUAUCUGGAGGAAGUAUGGACUUCAAUCUGGAACUUAAACAACAAUGUAAUGAUUCCAGAUAAAGAAUGAAGAAAACUUGAAAAUUUAAGUCAGGAGAUUUGAGUUUGAAAAACAGAAUGAAAUUGAAGGCAAGAAAAUAGAGAGUAUUUUAGAUGAAAUUCUAAUAAAUUUUCAUUCAUUUGAAUGAAGUCUUAAAGCCAAUACAUAUACCAGUAUUACAGUUGGUCAACAUAAACAACUUUCACCUAAACAACUUCCUACUAUCACUAAGUAACAUUGAAACUUGUAAAACAUUGCUUGUACACUUUGACAAGCUGAUUUAUCAAUUAACCAGCACCUAUUUACAUCAAAAUAUGUCACCUAUUUAGUUCAAAUCUGACUAAAUUACAAAAUAAUAUUUAAGGUAACUAAACAUAAUAAAAUACGAUAGCAGUAAUGUGCUUCAGCAUCUGCAUACAUACUUUAUGUGUUGAAGGUAUGGCUUGAUUUGCUUCUCUAUACUUCAUCCGCAUAACUUGUGCUACAUAGUCAGCUCCUUGCUGCUUCAUGUGUUGUAUGCAUACUUCAUCCAGUAAUAAUAUAACAGCUUGAUCUUCCAGGUUGAUCUUCAACACUUCAUCCGUAUGACUUGUGUUGCUUGGUCAGCUCCUUGGCUGCUUCUUAUGCUGCAUGCAGGCCAACUUCAACACCAAUGCCUUAUCGCACAAAUUAGAAAAAUAUUAUGAAAGAUGGUAAGUAAACAGUAGGAUUAAAACCAAUGAAUUUCAAUUCAUAUAAGAUGUCAAAUGAAUAAUAUUUUAACAGUAUCCAACUUGAAUUAAAAAUGGCAUGAGAGCCCAGAGUUGGAGACUAAAUAUACCACUCAAAGUUUUUUUGAAAAAAAGCAGAUCAUAAAAAUAAAUAAAUAACAAGGAUGGACCAACCUGAUUAAAACCAAAUGUUGGGGAUGUGAGCAAUCUUAUGCCAAUCAGCGCCAAUGUCCUUCCGACAUCUUUCCUGCAACUGAAUUUGUUCUAUCUGUAAAAUUUGCAAAUUGGUUAGGCAACACAUCUCGUCUGGAAGCGAUUUUAAAUUCGGCAAAUGCUUGAGACAGAUUUUUCAGAUUUGUCAGAUGUUGAAGCCACUCCGAAAGAUGCAGACACUCUGGAAUAGUUUCCAGCGAUAGAGAGAAUAGGCUUGUAUAAUUUUGGAAUAUUUGGAUGCCAGCUAUAGAUAACUCAAGCUCCUUGCAGUCGCUUACUUCAAACUUUUCAAGGAAAGUAAGAUGUUGGAACACAGGAAAGAGUAACUUCAAUCUGCUGCAGUUACGGAUUGCAAAUGUUUUCAAUUGAACAAGAUGUUGAAGCCAAAGAGAAGAGAUACCAGCUGAGGAAUUUGUUCUAUAUAAAUUUUCCAAACUGGUUAGGCAACGCAUCUUGUUCGGAAGCGAUGUUAAAUUGGGAAAAUCCCUGAGACAGAGCCUUUGCAGAUUUUUUAGAUGUUGAAGCCACUUCGGAAGAUACCGAUACUUUGGAAUGUUUGCCAACGUUAGAUAGCGCAGGCUUGUAUGAUCUUGGAAUAUUUGGAAGCCGACUGCUGAUAGCUCCAGCUCCUCGCAGUUGCUUAUUGAAAAGUCUUCAAUCCACCAAAAAAUGAAUAAUCUAAACAACUAAGUUGGUUACAAUAGUUGUUAAUAGAUAGUUCGUAUUUAGACCAAAACGCACCCUUUAAUCCAUCUAUUCUCUUCCCUCCCCAAUAGCUAAACACGGUAAUAGCAACUAACAUAAUACAAACAUAUUAACAGAAUUCAAAAUCCUCCCAUAACACGAGCCUCCCAUAAUCCCACACUAGUUUGAAGACAACAUUCUUAUGUUAUUAUGGUGCAGUUUAAGACAACAUUUUUAUGUUUUUAUUUUCUAACUUCUUAGUGCACUACAAUACUUAGGCAACAGAGCCGACCAUAUAUCAUUCAGGCGACAGAACUGACCAUAUAUCAUUUUUAUUAAUAUACAAUAUAAUUACAAUAUGACACACACUUCUCUCUUGCAUCAUUACAAGAAUGAAAGCUCUUACCCCUAUUUAUAGAGUUAAGUGGUCGUUGGCUUGUUGGCGCAUGUCAACAUCCUUGCCAUUAAUGUUACAAAUAUCUAAUAGUUAGAAUGUUCAUCUAGAAUAUCUAGUCUUCUAGAUAAUAUUUUAUUUCUUUAUUUUAUAUUCUAAAAUCUUCCAAAAAAAUCUCUCUUAAAGGAUAAGUUUGGUUUUUAUCUACAAGUUGCAUUAGCUUCCAACAACUUUGAUACCCAUAGGGAUUAUUGUGAUAAGGACUCCAUCAACUUACUUAAACGACAAGGCAUUGAUUCCUAGAAGAACAAAUCCAAGGGCAUCCUUUCUAGCAAUUUCGGAAUGAUACUUUCCGACUUCUUGUUAAACUAUUUCAAAGAUUUAACUUGGAUCAAAUUCCAUAAUGCUUAUGAUUUCAGGUUUUUAUUGAAGAUUAUGACACAACAAUCGCUGCCAAAUAGUGCAAUUCUUUUAUAGAACAAUUGGCUUAUUAUUUUGGUCAAAAGAUUUUCGACAUCAAACAUAUUUUCAAGUUCUUUAGCUUGUUGGGUGGUUAAAAAAAAGUGGCAAACAAAUUGAACGUGUCUCGGCUAGUUGGAACAAGCCAUCAAGUAAGAUCCGAUAGUCUAUUUACUCUCCAAUGCUUUACAGAGUUGAAGAAAUAGAAGAGUUUUGAGGACAAUCCGAAUCAACUUAUGUUGCCUGCACUUGCACUAUAUAGUUCGGUUUCUGCGAUAUGAUUGAUUUUCCUUUUAAGAUUUAUGAGAUUGCAUUAACAUUUUUUUUAAGUCCACACAUAUUAUUUUUUAAAAAUAUAAAAUAUAUUUAUAUUAUUUUAAAUUUAAUAUUUAAUAAUUUUACGUAUCUAUUUCUAUUAAAAUUUUAUAUAUAGUUAUCUUAACACGUUUUCUCACCGUUUGAUGUAUUAUAAAAAAAAAUCUUAACAUUUUUUAAUGUUUACACAAUAGUAUUAUAUAUUUAAUUUUUAUUUGUUAUAAAUUACAUAAUAUAUAAAAAUAACAUAAUAUAAAACAUUACAAACUAAAAAAUGGGUAGAGCCCUUGAGCUUGACCCAUAUCUUAAGCAGGUGUAAUUUUUUUACCCAAAUCCCCUCAAAUUUUGGGCGAACCUUCGAACUUAACGCAACUCUUGAACAGGUCUAACUUAAACUAAAUUUAUUAUAUUCUCUCUCUUUUUUUCCCUAUUAUUUUGGGUUAACAAUACAUUUAUUAAACCUUAAUUGCUCCAAUAAGGCUGAUUAUAUAUUAAAGUUUGACAAUGAUCUUACAAGAUAUGACAUCUAUCUAUUAAUUGAAAAUUAAACCCCCAAAUAUAUGCUAACAUGUAUCUUACAAAUUUAUUUUAUCCUACCAAGUCAAGAAAUUUUCACUCCACACAAUCAUAUGCUUUUUCAAAAGUUAUUUUAAAAGAUAUUACCUCCUUUUUCUUCACUUCUUUGAAUAUAGUCCACAACUUCCCAUCUAGGAUAUAUCAAUCCGAAAUAAAAGCAAAAUUGACUUUUAUUGAUGGCCUUGAGCGAAGCUUCGAAUCUAUAUAAUCAAAAUAUUUCUUUGUUUGGAUAUAAAGAUCAACGAGGUUAGUGGACUUUACCUUAAUUAAAUUGAAAAUAGCUCACAAAGCACAAAUUAAAAAUAUAUAGACAUCUCUUCUCCCCUUGCAAGCUUGAGUUGUUGAGCUACGAUAACUGAUGAAAUAAUACAAUCCCCUAUUUAAAAAAUACAAGGUGGUGGAGUGCUUGUACUAUUAUAAAUAAAUGCAGUUUCUCCACUUUUAAAUCAUCCAAAAAAUUGACAUUUUCAUCAUAAGAAAUUUUCCCUCUUUCUAUUUGCAAAUCUUUUGCAAUGAAAUAUAUUUGGUUUGUAAGUGUAAUUUGCUAAAUCUUGUAAAAUUUCUAGUGUUUUUUAUUAUUAUGAUUUUCUAUAACAAUAAUUUACUUUCUUUUACCUUAUUUACACAAUACUAACCUUAUUCAUAUAAUAUUAAUUUUACCCAAAAUUUUCUUCUUCAACAAAGAAACUAAUGCUCAAUUAAAACAAAAACCCUAAAAUACAAAAGUUAAUGGAAGAUAAAAGAAGACAUUGGAUCUAGGUAUAAUUGUUUUGUAUUGCAGGGCAUCCAUAUUUUCAUCCUCAACAUUUGGUAUGUGAAGGGAGCUAAGCUAAGCAUUCAGCCAAUCAUUAGGUACUGAAGCGCUUUCAUUAAGAUAAUGUACACAAACUUGCCUGAUUAUUAGUUGUGUUUCCAUGUAUUGGAACAUUAUCUAAAACACAAAAAGAGAAAAAUGUAGUUUUUUUAAGUUAGACACACAUACAAGUAAAAAUAAAGAAGAAUAAAGACCACAAUCAAGAUGUUUACGCAAUUCGGAACUCGUCCUACGUCUGGGGGAUCUUGUCCAGAGAUGAAUUCACUAUGAACUUUACAGUACAAAUAAAUUAUUUAUGCCCAACCCUCCAAACUUGGUGCAACCUCACCUUUGUACGAUUAACCAAACACUCUUCCAACUUACUUUAGCUAUACAAAGGAAAAUCAACACUGAAAUAGUGGCACUUAAUAAUAGUUCCUCACUAAAUGUUCCUCUAAAUCCCCACAUCACCCACGAAACAAAUCAUCUAUAUAUAUAAGCUCCAGGAUCAACCAAGCUUUACAUAAAUAUUUCUUCUAGAAUCUCAAUGCGAUGAGACAUUGCAAUCCUCGAGAGAAAGAAAGGAAGAACUUGGGUAAUGGCAGGGUGUUUCUUAGUGAGCCCAUCAAUUCUCUCUAUAUAGCAACAAUGAACCUGCAAAUUAUAAAUGCCAAUACAUAUUAUGUUAAAAUUUAUGUCAUUUAGACCGUGCAGUGUCCUAAUGUAGAAGAAACACUUUCUUUUACUAAAUAGAACUUUAUAUUAUGUGCAUGAAUGGUGGCUAACCACAAAGCCGUUGUCUAUGAUUUUCCACCGUAAGUUUUAUGAAAGGGCCAAACAUUGGGCAUUGUCAUCUGUAAUAGUAACAAAUUCCCAUUUCCAUUAGUCUUCACACCUCAAAACGUACUGCAAAAGAGAUUUAAUUAUUUUUUACUAAAAUACUCACCAGUAUCAACCUUACAUAUGUGCUCUUUUAAAUCCACUCACUCAUGGAACAAAUUAUCUAAAUAUAAGCUUCGGGAUGGACCAAGCUUUACAUAAGCUCCAUGUAAACUGAAAAAACAAAUUUUCAAAUGCAAUAUCAUUCAGCCUAUCUUCAAUUGUCAUGCUUGAAGUAGGACUUUUCCAAAAGCAACAACGAACCUGGAAACUAUAAAUGCUAAUAUAGUAUACGUUAAAAUUUAUCUAUUUAAGACCAAGCUGUGUCCAAAUGUAGAAACACUUAACUGUUACAGAACCCAACUUUAUAUCAUGUGCAUCAAUGGUGGCUAACCACAAACCCGUUGUCUAUGCUUUUCCAGUGCAAGCUUAACAAAGGGCCAAACAUUGGGCAUCAUCAUCAUCAUCAUCUGUAAUGGUAACAAAUUCACAUCCCGGUUAGUGUUAAUAUAUUGUUGUUCAUCUAUAAAUAAUGAAAACAUUUUAUCAACUUCAAAAUUCUAACAGCUGAAAGGGGUGCCCUGCAUCAAAGAAUAUUGUGAAAUAUCCCCCUCUCUUCCCUCCAUUUUCAUCAACCCUUAACCUCCUAGCCCCUAUUCAAAUUACUUACUUGACAACCACAUUGCGUGUUUAAGCUCUUCGAACACAACUCCAAGAAUCUGUCAAUAGCAUAGGUACCAUAUAAGCUGCUGGCAUAUAUAUUACAACUCUUGAAAUACUCCAUAUAUAUAAUUUAUAUCAGAUCAAUUGGGAAUUAUAAGGAAACUGAUGACAUAUAUUACCAUUUUUGUUUUGUUGGAAUAUUUUGGCAGAUGAACAGAUGGUAGUUGAACAUAUAUUACCUCUGCUUCUUGUAAUAUCUGCUAUGCUCUGCCGAAGAAGAGAGCGAAAAUCUAACAAAAAUUAGGAUUAGAUCAUCAGAGGGACUCUUCAACAAAAAAAAAAAAAAAAAAAAAAAAAAAAAAAGAAAAAGAAAGAACAAAUGUGCAUAGAGAGGAGGAUUUCAUGGGAGUACAAUGCCAUGGACAGAUCAGCUGAUGAAGAAUGCAUGUCCUGUUUUUUGGCUCUUCCAUUGAACACAUGCUGAAAAAGAAGAAGCUUAGUUAGGAUGGUUAUAUUAGAUCAUUUGAAAUUGUGAGAUUGUUGUGAUUUAAACACCUCUUUUUCUGCAUCUAAAUUCUUAAAGUUGUCAAAUGCCUUUCAGAAAAAUACAGGCCAAUGGAAUAUCUGGGCAGAUAACAAAUCCGGCUAGAAAGUAUGGUCUCUGCUUUUUGUAUUGCAUGCUAUGCUCUGCCGAAGAAUAGACUUCACACUAAAUCUAAAUUAUUCGAUUUUGUUUUAUUGAAUCAAAUAGAAAAUAGAAGAAAAGAAAUGAGUGAUAUGAAUUACCUGUCAUUCCUUGUUGAUGUAUACACAAUAGGAUUUCAUCACAUCAUUGCAAUGGUGAGAAAAUAAAAAAACAAUUAGUGGAAGAUAAAAGAAGACAUUGGUAAUUUAAUGGAGCUAAGCUAAGCAUUCAACCAAUCAUUUUAUUAGCCUCACCUCCAAUUAUGCUGAAGCAAGAUUGUUUCCUGUUUCGACCCCAACCCUGUUUAGUUUACUUACUUGACAAGGACAUUGCGCGUUUAAGCUCUCUCAACAUGCCUCUAACAAGAACCUCCCAAUAGAAUAGGGUACCAUCUAAGCUAGUAGUCAUUUGGUAUAUGUAUUACAACUCUUGACAUACUCCAUUUACAUCAUUAAUAUCAGACCAAUUAGAGAUUAGGAGGAAAUUGGUGACAUAUAUUACCAUUUUUUGUUGUUGGAA